Molecule: transfer RNA, 73 nt
Filed under: Novipirellula herctigrandis
Lineage: Bacteria; Pseudomonadati; Planctomycetota; Planctomycetia; Pirellulales; Pirellulaceae
Description: Planctomycetes bacterium CA13 tRNA-Val
Rfam family: tRNA
About the family: Transfer RNA (tRNA) molecules are approximately 80 nucleotides in length. Their secondary structure includes four short double-helical elements and three loops (D, anti-codon, and T loops).
Source: RNAcentral
AGUCCCGUGGUCCAACGGCGACGAUGCUUGGUUCACAUCCGAGAGACGAUGGUUCGAUUCCAUCCGGGACUAC